RNAcentral lists this long non-coding RNA (1296 nucleotides) under Anolis carolinensis (green anole). RNAcentral's name for it is "lncRNA (ENSACAG00000042939.1)". Lineage: Eukaryota; Metazoa; Chordata; Lepidosauria; Squamata; Anolidae. The record is from RNAcentral.
UAGGCAGGGUAUGGGCACUCUGGUCGAGAAUAUGUUGCCCUGGUGACCCGCUUGAAGCAAAUGGAGGCUAUUUCUUGUCUUUCAGGCUAGAGUACCAAAUAGUUGGGAACAGAUAAGAAGGACCCAUUGAGAGCAAUGAAGGUCACACCCAAAGAGAGGUUUGGCUUGUUCUCCUUCUCAUCCUCAGUGACAAAAAUUCUCCAUUAGCUGCUUUUUAUAGUUCAAUAAAUGGGAAGCUAUUUUAAUACCCCAUAUAGCUAUCUAUUGUCCUUUUUGUGGUGGGACGACAAUAUUGAACCUGCUUCAGUUUAGGCAACAGCUCCCGUGCAUUCCCUACUGACACAUUUUAUUCCUCAUCCAGCUUGGAAAUUUCUGUUCUCUUAAUUAUGGUAUGAUCCAUGUGAUAUGAUCCAUGUGUCCACAGGACUAGUACUCAAGGUCAUUUGGACAUUUGGGGGGGGGGUCAAAAUUUAGAGGACAGAUAAGAGAGGAUGAAUCUGCAGGAAAUUGCUUUCCUCAGCUGCAAAUAUUUAGGAAGCUAUGUGAUUAUGUUCUGUAUUAAUUUGUCUUCAAUUAAAAGUUGAAUCAGUAUGUAAUUUCUUAAUUUUUCAAUGAAUUCCUGAAAUUAAAUGCAGAUUUUAUACAUAAAACUCAGUUGGUCUCUUGGUCAUAUUCAGUAAAACAGUGCUCUUACUUUCAGUUAGGUUUAGUGAAGCUGCGCUAUGCUUGUUAUAUCAGCUAUGUGUUCUAAUAUGAGAUCUAUGAGAAUAUAGCCUACACUUUCUUCUGUGGUUAUCUGAUCAUUGCAGAAUGUGUCAUAGCAAGGCGAAGCACCAAUUGGACUGUUGCCCCUCCUGCAUUUUCCCAUGACAACACUAAAUGAUUAUGGUAACCAAGAUCCCCCUCUGAAGAAUAUUAAGUCUUUCCUGACACAUCAUCUCUUCUACUUCAGCUGCACGUGUGUUAUCUGAUAACUAUUGGGUCAUGAAGUGUCACCAUUUCAUAAUUUCAGCCGACUCUCUGCACACAUACAUACCCAUCCUUUGGUGGCCACACUACCUAUAUAUGGCUUACAUAUCUGAACAGGAAACCCAGUUGAGCUGAAGCGCCCGACUUACCCGCCAACCCAGCAAAAACAAGAGGGCCCAAACCAGCCCUUUCAGACCUCAAAAGCAUUGCUGUGCGUGAGGCACCUCUUACUACCAGCAAGGCCUGCCUUUAACAAAAUCCCCCAUGACCUUGCAAGCAAACUAUGCUAUUCUUAAGUGGAUUUCUAAUUAAUUAAGCGACCUGAAC